CCUGCCCCUAGAAGCAUUGUAGUGUGGCUGCUGUGUUCUAUAUGUGUUAGGCGGUAGAGAGGACAGAGGCUAUGUCUAUGCUCAGUGUUCUGACUGAUGAAUAUCUAAAUGAUUAGUAGUCUAACAUU
Apodemus sylvaticus (European woodmouse) is the source of this 128-nucleotide small nucleolar RNA. RefSeq annotates it as small nucleolar RNA SNORA17. The record is from RefSeq and is a predicted model, not a curated record. NCBI's taxonomy places the organism in Eukaryota, Metazoa, Chordata, Mammalia, Rodentia, Muridae. The transcript has a single exon.